RNAcentral lists this ribosomal RNA (446 nucleotides) under uncultured bacterium. Its description in RNAcentral is "partial 16S ribosomal RNA". It matches the Rfam family "Bacterial small subunit ribosomal RNA", at positions 338 to 795 of the family's 1533-position model. The record is from RNAcentral.
CCUACGGGUGGCAGCAGUCGAGAAUCAUUCACAAUGGGGGAAACCCUGAUGGUGCGACGCCGCGUGGGGGAAUGAAGGUCUUCGGAUUGUAAACCCCUGUCAUGUGGGAGCAAAUUAAAAAGAUAGUACCACAAGAGGAAGAGAAGGCUAACUCUGUGCCAGCAGCCGCGGUAAUACAUAGGUCUCAAGCGUUGUUCGGAAUCACUGGGUGUAAAGCGUGCGUAGGCUGUUUCGUAAGUCGUGUGUGAAAGGCGAGGGCUCAACCCGCGGACGGCAUAUGAUACUGCGAGACUAGAGUAAUGGAGGGGGAACCGGAAUUCUCGGUGUAGCAGUGAAAUGCGUAGAUAUCGAGAGGAACACUAGUGGCGAAGGCGGGUUCCUGGACAUUAACUGACGCUGAGGCACGAAGGCCAGGGGAGCGAAAGGGAUUAGAUACCCGUGUAGUC